This is a non-coding RNA of Podarcis lilfordi (Lilford's wall lizard), 72 nucleotides long. NCBI's taxonomy places the organism in Eukaryota, Metazoa, Chordata, Lepidosauria, Squamata, Lacertidae. The record is from the annotation of a GenBank genome assembly.
UGACAGCUCAGUUAGUAGAGCAUGAGACACUCGAUCUCAGGCUCGUGGGUUCAAGUCCCACACUGUGCAAAG